GUCCACGCCCUAAACGAUGAGAGCUGGGUGUCGGCAGGGUUUCCUGUCGGUGCCGAAGCUAACGCGUUAAGCUCUCCGCCUGGGGACUACGAACGCAAGUUUAAAACUCAAAGGAAUAGACGGGGCCCGCACAAGCAGCGGAGCGUGUGGUUCAAUUCGAUGCAACACGAAGAACCUUACCAGGGUUUGACAUGUAUGUGGUAGGAAACUGAAAGGGGCCCGACCCGCAAGGGAGCAUGCACAGGUGCUGCAUGGCUGUCGU
RNAcentral lists this ribosomal RNA (262 nucleotides) under uncultured bacterium. Its description in RNAcentral is "partial 16S ribosomal RNA". It matches the Rfam family "Bacterial small subunit ribosomal RNA", at positions 793 to 1055 of the family's 1533-position model. The record is from RNAcentral.